AUAUCAGUCAUGCAUAGCAUAUCAAUAAGCGGAGGAAAAGAAACUAACAAGGAUUCCCUUAGUAACGGCGAGUGAAGCGGGAAGAGCUCAAAUUUGAAAUCUUCAAGGUUCUACCUUGACGAAUUGUAGUUUAUAGAAGUGUUUUCUGUUAGUGGAGUGGCAAAAGUUCUUUGGAAUAGGACAUCAUAGAGGGUGAGAAUCCCGUAUUUGGUCAUUCCUCCUAGCGUUGUGAUACACUUUCAACGAGUCGGAUUGUUUGGGAAUGCAGUCCAAAAUGGGUGGUAAAUUUCAUCUAAAGCUAAAUAUUGGCGAGAGACCGAUAGCGAACAAGUACCGUGAGGGAAAGAUGAAAAGAACUUUGAAAAGAGAGUUAAACAGUACGUGAAAUUGUCAAAAGGGAAGCGUUUGACACCAGUGUUGUUUUUCCGAAAAUCAAUUACGAAUGUUUUGUUUUUGAGAAGUUAUGACUUCAUCGGCUUGCUUCUUUCUUUACGAAACUUUCUUAAUGCACUUUUCGGUUAACAAGUCAACAUCAAUUUCUUUUGUUGUAAAAGGGUACUGAGGAAGGUGGCUUUCUUUUCGGAGAAAGUGUUUAUAGCCUUGUGCCUCUGCAAUCGGAGAGAUUGAGGUCUGCAGCGUAGAUCCUUCGGGGUUAGAUACAGUUUGUGCUAAGUUAUAGCUUUUCAUAGACAACUUGUUGACUAUGUUUAGUCUUGUAGCUUACUCGCUUAUGCUAUUUUACCUACGCUUAGGAUGUUGAUCUCUCACAGUCGAGC
Molecule: ribosomal RNA, 776 nt
Filed under: uncultured Neocallimastigales
Lineage: Eukaryota; Fungi; Neocallimastigomycota; Neocallimastigomycetes; Neocallimastigales
Description: partial large subunit ribosomal RNA
Rfam family: Eukaryotic large subunit ribosomal RNA
Source: RNAcentral